Molecule: ribosomal RNA, 465 nt
Filed under: Vreelandella stevensii
Lineage: Bacteria; Pseudomonadati; Pseudomonadota; Gammaproteobacteria; Oceanospirillales; Halomonadaceae
Description: partial 16S ribosomal RNA
Rfam family: Bacterial small subunit ribosomal RNA
Source: RNAcentral
CCUACGGGGGGCAGCAGUGGGGAAUAUUGGACAAUGGGGGCAACCCUGAUCCAGCCAUGCCGCGUGUGUGAAGAAGGCCCUCGGGUUGUAAAGCACUUUCAGUGAGGAAGAACGCCUGGUGGUUAAUACCCAUCAGGAAAGACAUCACUCUCAGAAGAAGCACCGGCUAACUCCGUGCCAGCAGCCGCGGUAAUACGGAGGGUGCGAGCGUUAAUCGGAAUUACUGGGCGUAAAGCGCGCGUAGGUGGCUUGAUAAGCCGGUUGUGAAAGCCCCGGGCUCAACCUGGGAACGGCAUCCGGAACUGUCAAGCUAGAGUGCAGGAGAGGAAGGUAGAAUUCCCGGUGUAGCGGUGAAAUGCGUAGAGAUCGGGAGGAAUACCAGUGGCGAAGGCGGCCUUCUGGACUGACACUGACACUGAGGUGCGAAAGCGUGGGUAGCAAACAGGAUUAGAUACCCCUGUAGUC